This 221-nucleotide unclassified non-coding RNA is filed under the name plant metagenome. RNAcentral's name for it is "partial contains small subunit ribosomal RNA, internal transcribed spacer 1, and 5.8S ribosomal RNA". The record is from RNAcentral.
UCUCCGUAGGUGAACCUGCGGAGGGAUCAUUACAGAGUACGUGCCCACGCGGGUAGAUCUCCCCCCCUGUGUUAUUGCUACCUUUGUUGCUUUGGCGGGCCGCCCGCGGCUACCGGCCCCGGCUGGUACGCGCCCGCCAGAGGACCCCAAACCCUGAACGUCCGUGUCGUCUGAGUACUAUACAAUAGUUAAAACUUUCAACAACGGAUCUCUUGGUUCUG